Molecule: transfer RNA, 67 nt
Filed under: Phascolosoma similis
Lineage: Eukaryota; Metazoa; Annelida; Sipuncula; Phascolosomatiformes; Phascolosomatidae
Description: tRNA-Gln
Source: RNAcentral
UACAAGAAAGUGUUCUGGCACGUAGGAUUUUGACUCCUAAAGAAAAGACUCAUCCCUUUUCUUGUAU